AGGCAUCCUCGUCCUGCUCGCCCUUCAGUCCCCGAGUUCUCAAUCUCCCCUCCUCCUUCCUGUGUUCUCUCCAAAAUACACACCAAAUUCCCAUGAAACUGAGCUCGUUUUUGUUGCCUUCUCUGCUCCGCGCAACAUUUUUCCUCCAUAGAUCCAUGAGAGGGCGUCCAAAGGGUAGGACGACCGUGCUGCAAGCUCGUGCACCCACUGCGUUACCAUGGUGUGCGACGGCGGAGACCGGUGCCGGCUGGGGCAGCGAUGCAGGAAACGGCACACCUCGUUGCUGGAACCGGCCGACUGAAAAGCUGCAACCGGCAUCCGAUGAUGCUGGAACCAGUAAUCAUUUUUGCUACCACAGGCGUUUGGUUUUGCUGGAACCACCGCCAAAUUUGCAAGUUUGCUACUACUGACUUUCUGGUUUGUUGGAACAAGCUUGAAUUUUUGCUACAUCGGCAUUUUUGACUUUUGCUGGGGGACAACUUUCAUUUUUUUUGUUUUGCAAUUUUUGCUACCACCGUUUCCUUUUUGCUAGAUCCGAUGCAAUUUUUUGC
Molecule: long non-coding RNA, 551 nt
Organism: Triticum dicoccoides
Lineage: Eukaryota; Viridiplantae; Streptophyta; Magnoliopsida; Poales; Poaceae
Exons: 2
Source: RefSeq, a predicted model, not a curated record